CCUACGGGAGGCAGCAGUGGGGAAUAUUGCACAAUGGGGGAAACCCUGAUGCAGCGACGCCGCGUGAGUGAAGAAGUAUUUCGGUAGGUAAAGCUCUGUCAGCAGGGAAGAAAAUGACGGUACCUGACCAAGAAGCCCCGGCUAACUACGGGCCAGCAGCCGCGGUAAUACGUAGGGGGCAAGCGUUAUCCGGAUUUACUGGGUGUAAAGGGAGCGUAGCCGGGAGGGCAAGGCUGGCGUGAAAGGCGGGGGCUCAACCCCCGGACUGCUCUGGAAACUGCCAGGCUGGAGUGCAGGAGAGGUAAGUGGAAUUCCUAGUGUAGCGGUGACAUGCGUAGAUAUUAGGAGGAACCCCAGUGGCGAAGGCGGCUUACUGGACUGUAACUGACGUUGAGGCUCGAAAGCGUGGGGAGCAAACAGGAUUAGAUACCCGAGUAGUC
This 440-nucleotide ribosomal RNA is filed under the name uncultured bacterium. RNAcentral's name for it is "partial 16S ribosomal RNA". It matches the Rfam family "Bacterial small subunit ribosomal RNA", at positions 338 to 795 of the family's 1533-position model. The record is from RNAcentral.